Molecule: long non-coding RNA, 266 nt
Filed under: Lathyrus oleraceus (garden pea)
Lineage: Eukaryota; Viridiplantae; Streptophyta; Magnoliopsida; Fabales; Fabaceae
Description: Pisum sativum (pea) long non-coding RNA (PSAT_LNC026945)
Source: RNAcentral
AGGGAUCAUACGCGCGAAAAUAAUUGUUCGGGAUCCAAGAAAAAGCAAAAAAAAAAUCAAUCAAAGAAGUACCGGGGUUCAAGAGAAGAAAAACAUCAACAAGUUUUGGGGUUCAAAAAAAGCAAAAAAAAUAUAAUAAUCCCCAACGGAGCGCAAAUUGUUCGUCUGUUCUUGGUAUUCAAUCACUUUUCACCCUGAUCAUCUGAAAGCCGAGGCUGUUCAUAUCGACAGGUUCACAGUGGAUUGAAUAAGGGCAACUGUAACAC